RNAcentral lists this ribosomal RNA (420 nucleotides) under uncultured bacterium. RNAcentral's name for it is "bacterial SSU rRNA". It matches the Rfam family "Bacterial small subunit ribosomal RNA", at positions 359 to 776 of the family's 1533-position model. The record is from RNAcentral.
GAAUAUUGGACAAUGGGCGGAAGCCUGAUCCAGCCAUGCCGCGUGCAGGAAGACUGCCCUAUGGGUUGUAAACUGCUUUUGUACGGGAAGAAACACCCCCACGUGUGGGGGCUUGACGGUACCGUAAGAAUAAGCAUCGGCUAACUCCGUGCCAGCAGCCGCGGUAAUACGGAGGAUGCAAGCGUUAUCCGGAAUCAUUGGGUUUAAAGGGUCCGUAGGCGGACAAUUAAGUCAGGGGUGAAAGUCUGCGGCUCAACCGUAGGACUGCCCUUGAUACUGGUUGUCUUGAAUCGUUGUGAAGUGAUUAGAAUGAGCAGUGUAGCGGUGAAAUGCAUAGAUAUUGCUCAGAAUACCAAUUGCGAAGGCAGAUCACUAACAACGUAUUGACGCUGAGGGACGAAAGCGUGGGGAGCGAACAGG